This 213-nucleotide ribosomal RNA is filed under the name uncultured Geastrum. RNAcentral's name for it is "partial 28S ribosomal RNA". It matches the Rfam family "Eukaryotic large subunit ribosomal RNA", at positions 1652 to 1865 of the family's 3401-position model. Lineage: Eukaryota; Fungi; Basidiomycota; Agaricomycetes; Geastrales; Geastraceae. The record is from RNAcentral.
CGAACCAGGAGACGUCGGCGAGGGCCCUGGAAAGAGUUAUCUUUCUUUCUUACAGUCUGUCACCCUGAAAUCGAUUUGUUCGGAGAUAGGGUUCCAUGGCUGGUAGAGCUCGGCACUUCUGCCGAGUCCGGUGCGUCCUCGACGGCCCUUAGAAAUCCUGGGGAGCAAACAUUUCACGCCUGGUCGUACUGAUAACCGCAGCGUCGACGCGGC